AGGGUCGCAGCGGUGCGCACGGAAGCCCAGGGCGCGGGCCCGCGUGGAGCCGCCGCGGGUGCAGAUCUUGGUGGUAGUAGCAAAUAUUCAAACGAGAACUUUGAAGGCUGAGAUAUCCUGUUGGGAAAGUGUAGUAGGGAGAUCGGAUGAGCA
This is a long non-coding RNA of Thalassophryne amazonica, 153 nucleotides long. RefSeq lists it as uncharacterized. NCBI's taxonomy places the organism in Eukaryota, Metazoa, Chordata, Actinopteri, Batrachoidiformes, Batrachoididae. The record is from RefSeq and is a predicted model, not a curated record. The transcript is spliced from 3 exons.